UUCCCGGAGGGCUUGUAGCUCAGUUGGUUAGAGCGCGCGCUUGAUAAGCGUGAGGUCGGAGGUUCAAGUCCUCCCAGGCCCACCAAUUAUCCAUCCAUAGAAAAGCGCUUAGAAAGUUUGACUGUUAACAGGUCAACGUUGUUUUGUAGGACGCCAAUAUUGUCUUGAAAAAGAGCUUUCUUGUAAAGUUUGAGAAAACUUGUUUAUCGCUUUUUGUAAGAUGUGGUGUUUGUCUGCUUUUAAAGCGAUCGAAACUGAAAGUGUUUCAAAGAUAAGAGUCUUGGAACAGAAGAGUCUUGGAAUAGAAAAGAAUAUAAAGUCUAGGUGGUAUUACAUAGUCUAGAGUUAAAUUGUUCAUGAUUGGAACAUUUCAUAUUGAAAUGCUGCGAUAUAAAGGUUUCGUAAUAGAAUUAUUCCGUUUGGGGCCGU
This 429-nucleotide unclassified non-coding RNA is filed under the name Bartonella coopersplainsensis. RNAcentral's name for it is "partial 16S-23S ribosomal RNA intergenic spacer". The stretch from base 9 to 82 matches the Rfam family "tRNA". Lineage: Bacteria; Pseudomonadati; Pseudomonadota; Alphaproteobacteria; Hyphomicrobiales; Bartonellaceae. The record is from RNAcentral.